GGGCCUGUAGCUCAGCCUGGCAGAGCGUGAGAACAACACGCACAGAGAGCACCUGCCUCUUAAGCAGGGAGUCGCGAGUUCAAAUCUCGUCGGGCCCA
This 98-nucleotide transfer RNA is filed under the name Candidatus Aenigmatarchaeota archaeon. RNAcentral's name for it is "tRNA-Lys". It matches the Rfam family "tRNA". Rfam says of the family: Transfer RNA (tRNA) molecules are approximately 80 nucleotides in length. Their secondary structure includes four short double-helical elements and three loops (D, anti-codon, and T loops). Lineage: Archaea; Nanobdellati; Candidatus Aenigmatarchaeota. The record is from RNAcentral.